RNA transcript from Leopardus geoffroyi (Geoffroy's cat), 3419 nucleotides. It is a transcript of the gene named G protein-coupled receptor 65, with no coding region annotated. Lineage: Eukaryota; Metazoa; Chordata; Mammalia; Carnivora; Felidae. The record is from RefSeq and is a predicted model, not a curated record. The transcript is spliced from 8 exons.
GCUCAGCCAUUGUGUGGGUCACAUGACUCCGGCGCCUCGGGAGGCGGGUCCUGUCGUCGCCAUGUGGAGAAGGGCAGGAGACUGCUGACGCCAGCGCCGCCAUCUUGAGUGCGGGCCACACGUCGGGGACGAUUGCUGUGAGAUACCUGACCCAGAGUGUCGUCUGCUCAGGCCCUGUGGAGUGUGGCCUUCAUGUGUACUCACUUCCCUGCGCCUCAUCCGGCCUCACCUGCUGGGGCACGUUAGCUCAGGGGAGAUGGAUGUCCAAAGCCAGCCGAGAGAACUGGACCUUCCUUAACAUCUCGGGGCACAUCCACCACAUGCCAAUCUAUGGCAAAGCAAGAGAGAAGACCCAGCUUGCAGCCCCCACUACGUCCUAGUUCAGGUGUCCGUCUCCUUGGUCGAAUCACUUAGCUUUCUGAGCCUGAGUUUCCUUUUGCGUAAGAUGAAACAAGAGCAGCCGCCGGGGGACAUGGGAUUAAACGAAAUACAAGUGUUGGUUUCUCAUCUCGGUGCAAGCAGAUUUAUCUGGCUCCUCGGUCAACAAAAUCAUCUCCUCAAGAAACAUGGGAUCCAGGGUCUGCUGGAGGAGACCCCCUUUCUGUUGUUAUCAUGUCCUUCAGAUGAGUAGAGGGUGCGGAGUGAGGAAAAGGAGAAGAGGAAUCAUGCCUUGAUGCAUUGUGCCUCCAGACAACCUCCACCACACCACCGUGAACACUCAGUACCUGAAGGUUAAGUCUGGGGUUUUCACCAGCCUGAAAUGGCAGUGAUCACAAAGAGGAAGAUAGGACACCAACUCAAGGCCGCAUUGACAGGGCUGGACGCUACUCCUCCCCAGCUCGCCCUUCGCCAGAGGAGAAACCCCACGAUAGCUGGAAUCAUCACCGGCCAUGCGGCCUGCAGAUCCACCACUGGUAGCCCCCCAGUGGACCCUCCUACAGAGGUAUUUCAACUCACAUAAGGCAUCACACUGACCCUUUGAGGCCAAGGUUGGAACAGAACAACACCCGAUGUUCCUGUGAACUAUUCCUAACAGAUGGGCCAGUUGGAGAGAUCAAAAUGCUGGACACAAUUUUAGCAACAUGGAACCUUGAGGUACAUGAAGGGUCACGGUUACCUCCACCCCAAGCAGAAUGACCAUAGAUAUGGGCUGUGGUAGGCAGAAUUCUAAAGAUCACGCAAAUAUAUUAGUGUCCUGAGUACUCAUUCAAACACCGUUAUAGGUCCUGCCUUGAAGGCAUUUUACAGGUGUAAUUAAAACAUCAAGCGCCAAGUUGGCGAACCUUUAAGACAGAAACCCAGCGAGUCAUGUGAGCCCUUUACAAGCAGAAUUUUUCUCCAGCUGGGAACCGAAGUCAGGGAUUUAAAGCACAGGAAGUAUUCCGUCAAGCAUCACUGCUGGCCUGAAAAUGGAGGGGGACACAACAAGGGAGGCUGGGGCUUGCAGAAGUGGCCAGCAGCCCCUUGCUGGCAGCUAGCAAGUGAACAGGGACCUCGGUUCGGCUGCUGGAGGACACUGGAUUCUGCUAACGACAGGAAUGAGCUUGAGAGAGCACUCUGUGCUCCAGGGAACUACCAGACAGGUCAAAUAGUGACAGUUCUCUGGGGAGAGACUCUUGGAAACCUCCAAACUUUUUCAGCCCCUUCGAGUGGAGAUCUUUCUUUUUUCUUUAUGCUUCAACAGACCCUCCACUCCAAUCCAGGAAGAGAAAGCCUUAGUGACUGCUUACAGGAAACAGCAGAUUCCCUGAAAAAAGUGCAGAACCUGAGAAUCCAGCAACGAAUCACAGUCCCAGCGACAGGAUGGGGGUCAAACCACACAACAACAACUCUAUGACAGCUUUGGAAAUGGAUUGUGAAAACCAGCAAGAGCUACAUUGGACAGGUCAGAGAUGCUUUGUGGGUAUAUGAGGUAUGUGCAUGGUUUGAGGGUGGGCUGAGAGCAUGGUCUCUGAGGGAAUAACCAUUGAAAACCACUUCUCCAAGGUGACCUUCUUUUGGGGCUGUUGAAAACUAAGGAUAGCGGUACUCUCUUGAAAAUGAUUCUGACCAAUCACAUCAAAAGCAUGAGGUUAGUCCAACUACUAAAAGCUGACUUCUAAAUUUAGCCUCAGUUAGCUAUUCAGUAAACACCUCUGCAGUACAGAAAUAGAUCAAAAAAAUAUUUACCUAAAGAACACUAGAUUGACGUCCUACUGUUUUUUUGCCUAAUAGAUGCAUGUAACUAGACCUCAAGAUUUGGAUGAUCUACAUGGGUCCUUGUAUCCCUCCAGGCCCUGUUCAGCCACAAAUUGGCUGGGAAAUCCACCUUUGUGCCAAUUCCUCAAAGUAACUUUCUCCUCACGCUUGUAUUACAGAGAGGGCUACCUGUUCCCUUUCUGUUCCUUUUCUGUUCCCCUAGAAAACUUCUGACCCCAAGUCAAUGUGAAAUUCAUACUGAAGAGUGGAGCAAGCCUCAUAAAAACUAUGUGGAGAAGGGGGGAAAUGAUGAACAUUGGAGAAAAUAGAUCUUAGCCUCAGGUUUUAAAGUGCCUUCAGACACACACGGAGAGAAGCCAGUGCUGUGUCUCUGAAGGGAUGCAAGUGUUGAGAGGCUUUGACAGGCCAAAGGACAGUUUAACUGAAUGGAACUUUCAAGAAGUCAAAGUGCCACUGCAAUCUGGGGGGAGGAGUCUUGUGGGGGAGGGGCUUUAGACUUUGCUUUCACAUUCCAAUGAACACCUGACUCUUUUUCCAUAGUCACUCCUCUUUUUUUAUUUAUCUCCUACUUGAUUAUAAGCCACUUAAUUUAUCUCAGUGCCCCAGCCAAGCCUGGCACAUAGUAGGCAAUGAAUAGUAGGGGAAGGAGGGAAGGUAAGAAGGAAGGAAGGAAGGAAGGAAGGAAGGAAGGAAGGAAGGAAUGGAAGGACAGAGGGAAGGAGAAUAAGACAAUUGGAAAACCUACAUACAGACACAAAUGAAACAAUUUUAAAUGAGCAGAAGACCUGUCUCAAGUAGAUAACUGAAAGACCCGAAAAUUUAGUGGAAUUUCUGAAAAAUUCAGUGGGCUCAGUUCAAUGGAGAAGAGGUUCAGAAUGUCUCUAGUGGCCAAGACAAAAAGGGAAAUCCAGAGAACAGUGUGCCCUAUUCUUUAUUCCCCUGAGUGCCAGGGCCAGAAGUUAGAGCAAAGCCUGGCAAACAGGUGUUCCCUAAAAAUAUCCUGAAUGAAUGUGAAGCUCAUCUCUAAGGCCCUUUCUAGCUCUGACAUAAUGAGACUCUGCUUUUUAAGAUCUGUUGUGGCUGGCAAAUCCCUAUGACGACCCCAUUCUUGGGCCUGGCAAACAAACAGGUGUAAAAUUGCAAGUUGAGGAUAGAAGUAGAAGGGAAAGUUGGACCUUGGGGAGCAGCCUCACUGUUCCAGCAUGGCAGCCGGGGCGGUG